UUACGGUCAAAUCACGCUGAAAACACCGGUUCUCGUUCGAUCAUCGAAGUUAAGCAUCGUAGAGCCAGGUCAGUACUUAGAUGGGGGACCGCUUGGGAACACCUGGUACUGUAAG
This 115-nucleotide ribosomal RNA is filed under the name Acanthosepion pharaonis. The record is from RNAcentral. Lineage: Eukaryota; Metazoa; Mollusca; Cephalopoda; Sepiida; Sepiidae.